UGNGCUAACAGAAGAAUCUUAUCUGCUU
This 28-nucleotide non-coding RNA is filed under the name Mus musculus (house mouse). Lineage: Eukaryota; Metazoa; Chordata; Mammalia; Rodentia; Muridae. The record is from RNAcentral.